UGCAGUCGAACGGCAGCGGGGGAAAGCUUGCUUUCCUGCCGGCGAGUGGCGAACGGGUGAGUAAUACAUCGGAACGUGCCCUGUAGUGGGGGAUAACUAGUCGAAAGAUUAGCUAAUACCGCAUACGACCUGAGGGUGAAAGUGGGGGACCGCAAGGCCUCAUGCUAUAGGAGCGGCCGAUGUCUGAUUAGCUAGUUGGUGGGGUAAAGGCCCACCAAGGCGACGAUCAGUAGCUGGUCUGAGAGGACGAUCAGCCACACUGGGACUGAGACACGGCCCAGACUCCUACGGGAGGCAGCAGUGGGGAAUUUUGGACAAUGGGGGCAACCCUGAUCCAGCAAUGCCGCGUGUGUGAAGAAGGCCUUCGGGUUGUAAAGCACUUUUGUCCGGAAAGAAAUCGCACUGGUUAAUACCUGGGUGUGGAUGACGGUACCGGAAGAAUAAGGACCGGCUAACUACGUGCCAGCAGCCGCGGUAAUACGUAGGGUCCAAGCGUUAAUCGGAAUUACUGGGCGUAAAGCGUGCGCAGGCGGUUGUGCAAGACCGAUGUGAAAUCCCCGGGCUUAACCUGGGAAUUGCAUUGGUGACUGCACGGCUAGAGUGUGUCAGAGGGGGGGUAGAAUUCCACGGUGUAGCAGUGAAAUGCGUAGAGAUGUGGAGGAAUACCGAUGGCGAAGGCAGCCCCCUGGGAUAACACUGACGCUCAUGCACGAAAGCGUGGGGAGCAAACAGGAUUAGAUACCCCUGGUAGUCCACGCCCUAAACGAUGUCAACUAGUUUGUUGGGGAUUCAUUUCCUUAGUAACGUAGCUAACGCGUGAAGUUGACCGCCCUGGGGGAGUACGGUCGCAAGAUUAAAACUCAAAGGAAUUGACGGGGACCCGCACAAGCGGUGGAUGAUGUGGAUUAAUUCGAUGCAACGCGAAAAACCUUACCUACCCUUGACAUGCCACUAACGAAGCAGAGAUGCAUUAGGUGCUCGAAAGAGAAAGUGGACACAGGUGCUGCAUGGCUGUCGUCAGCUCGUGUCGUGAGAUGUUGGGUUAAGUCCCGCAACGAGCGCAACCCUUGUCUCUAGUUGCUACGAAAGGGCACUCUAGAGAGACUGCCGGUGACAAACCGGAGGAAGGUGGGGAUGACGUCAAGUCCUCAUGGCCCUUAUGGGUAGGGCUUCACACGUCAUACAAUGGUGCAUACAGAGGGUUGCCAAGCCGCGAGGUGGAGCUAAUCCCAGAAAAUGCAUCGUAGUCCGGAUCGUAGUCUGCAACUCGACUACGUGAAGCUGGAAUCGCUAGUAAUCGCGGAUCAGCAUGCCGCGGUGAAUACGUUCCCGGGUCUUGUACACACCGCCCGUCACACCAUGGGAGUGGGCUUUACCAGAAGUAGUUAGCCUAACCGCAAGGAGGGCGAUACC
This 1413-nucleotide ribosomal RNA is filed under the name Ralstonia syzygii. RNAcentral's name for it is "bacterial SSU rRNA". It matches the Rfam family "Bacterial small subunit ribosomal RNA". Lineage: Bacteria; Pseudomonadati; Pseudomonadota; Betaproteobacteria; Burkholderiales; Burkholderiaceae. The record is from RNAcentral.